GGGGAUGUAGCUCAGUUGGUAGAGUGCUUGCCUCCCAUACACAAGGCCCUGGGUUCAAUCCCAGCACCA
This 69-nucleotide transfer RNA is filed under the name Urocitellus parryii (Arctic ground squirrel). Its description in RNAcentral is "Spermophilus parryii (Arctic ground squirrel) tRNA". It matches the Rfam family "tRNA". From Rfam's summary of the family: Transfer RNA (tRNA) molecules are approximately 80 nucleotides in length. The record is from Rfam by way of RNAcentral. RNAcentral also lists the same sequence under 2 other names. Lineage: Eukaryota; Metazoa; Chordata; Mammalia; Rodentia; Sciuridae.